AGGAAGAGAAACUAACAAGGACUCCCAUUGUAACGGCGAGUGAGCGGCAACAGCUCAAUUUGAAUCUGGCACCUUCCGUGUCCUAGUUGUAUUCUCUAGAAAAGUUUUUUGCGUUGGACCCCAGUUUGUCUCUUGGAAUACAGGGGCCUAGAGGGGAGAACCCCCCAUAUGGUGAGGACGCCCACCGCUUUUUGAUGAUUUUUCAAAAAGUCGACUUGUUUGGGAAUGCAGCUCAAAUUGGGUGGUAAAUUCCUUCUAAUGCUAAUUAUUGGCGAGAAACCAAUGGCGAACAACUACCGUGAGGGAAAAAUGAAAAAAACUUUGUAAAAAAAAUUAACAAUACGUGAAAUUGUUUGAAGGGAAGCGCUUGAACUCAGACUUGCUUGCCGAGCAGUCUUUUUGCUGGCGAGCGUCUUCUUUCCGGGAUGGAUAAUGGUAGAGAGAAGGUAGCAAUUUCGGCUGUGUUAUGUGUCUCUGCUGGAUACAUCUUGGGGGACUGAGGAACACAGUGUGCCUUUGGCGGGGGUUUCGACCUCUUCACACUUAGGAUGCUGGGGGAAUGGCUUUCAACGACCCGUCUAGGAACCCAGAACCAA
This 596-nucleotide ribosomal RNA is filed under the name Sporidiobolaceae sp. RNAcentral's name for it is "partial large subunit ribosomal RNA". It matches the Rfam family "Eukaryotic large subunit ribosomal RNA", at positions 54 to 664 of the family's 3401-position model. The record is from RNAcentral. Lineage: Eukaryota; Fungi; Basidiomycota; Microbotryomycetes; Sporidiobolales; Sporidiobolaceae.